GGAUUGUGGCUCAGUGGUAGAGUGCUUGCCUAGCAUGUGUGAGGCACUGGGUUCCAUCCUCAGCUCCA
Molecule: transfer RNA, 68 nt
Filed under: Marmota monax (woodchuck)
Lineage: Eukaryota; Metazoa; Chordata; Mammalia; Rodentia; Sciuridae
Description: tRNA.Ala
Source: RNAcentral